AUAGAGGGCCAGAUGAUUGCAUCUGCAGACUUUCUCCUGCCCCUAUGAAUACUCCUGAUUUCCAUGCUGGCCUUAUGGCUCUGUGCUGACAUUUGUUCUGGCAGUCCCCGUGGAACCUGGCACUGUGUCCUGAACCUCUAAUCUCUGUGUAAUUAGUCUGAGAUCCACGAGACAGGAACCUUUCCUGGCCGUGUUUGUGCAGGAGGCCAAGGGCAAUGCCAAACUCAGAAGGGCUCUGCAGUACCUACUUGUCACACCAAAGAGACAAACCAUCCUUUGGGGUGCUGCUCUUCAAGCCUCUUUUUUUGAUGGCAAAAGGGAAUUCAGUGCCUGAAAACACGUCCCCAGCAGUAAGGAUGCACAGCUCACCCCAAGCUGCAGAGAUAAGUCCUGCAGACCUUGAUCUCUCAGCAAAGCCAUGCUGGUAGUUUUUCCUGCUUUUCCAGGCCUUGGUCCUCAGCUCACUGGUGAUGCUCAGUUAAGACAUGGUUUAAGCACCAUCCAGUCAGGAGCACUGAGGAGCAGGACAGUGUGAUGGCACCCGAGGAGGAAAGGAACAGAGCUGGGGGCCACAGGUCUGCAACAGGGAGGUCUUUCCCAGACCUUCCAGCCGUUUAUGAAGCACCCCAGCACUGGAGGGUGACUCUUGGCCAGCUGAACAUCUCUGCAAUCACAGGCGGGCAGCUGGCACAGCCAAGAUCUCCGUGAUGCCCCCACCACAACCACAACCAACGUGUUCCUGAGAGGAAUCCCAGCCAAAGCCCACAUGCUCCCUGAGGUGACCCUCUGGAUAUCAAGCCCUGGAGGAGAGGUUACUUGAAGAGAAUAAAAAACCUCAUUGGUGAAAGCAACCUAAACAGGAAAUUGGACAGGAGGCUGGCUGAAAGUGUACCAGUGCUCUACAGGGAUUUCUUGUGCCUUUUCAAGGAAGGAUUUGCUGUGUUCUAGAAUGUGUAAAUAUUGUUUGGGGCUUGUUUUGUUUUGUUUUUUAUCUCAAAUGCUUGCCAAGGAAAUGGAACAGUACAAACAUAAUUAGCCAGGGGCUGAGCAUUUAAUCUUAAAUUCUGAGUCUUCAUUAAGUCUUAAUUUAAAAACCUUAGGAGGGAAGCUUGCAACCAUUCCUGUUCAUAGGGAUGGAUGGAAUUUGUGGCAGGAUUUUAUGGCAGAAGAGGGAAACCACUCAAAUGGGGAAGGCUCAGAAACCCAAACCAUUCUGUGGCUAGGAAUUUAAGAAGGUGCUGUGGGAGAGCUGGAAGGCUUGUGGGGUGAAAAAACGAGAGCUUUCCCUUUGUAUGAGAGUUAUUCCAAAUCAGAAUGGGGUGUUUGGACACAGGUUUGUUUUUUUUUUUUCCUAUGGGGCAUUGUUAUUUUUACCUGAAAAAGGGAUAACUUCGGAAUUUGGAUCAGUUUCAGUGUAUCAAGAUAAAAUGAACUGCUAGUACCUUUUAGUUUUAUCUUAAUUUACUGAGAAAGAUUUCUACACCAGGCAUGAUAGGGAAAAAAUACUGGAGGGAGAAAAAUUAAAUAAAACAAAUCCUUUUAUUCCCUUCUGUAAGUAUUUUUAUAAGCUAGGAAGCUGUGGAGAAAUGUGAAAGUGCUGUGAUUUCUCCUACACCUUCCUUUGCCCUUUUUCAGUGAUAACAGCUAUCAAAUGACAUCUUUGUGAGGAACGUGCCAGACCCUCUGCACAUCAAAAAAAGUCCAAAAAGCAGCAGCCUUAAUUCCUGUGAGUGUUCAUGCCAAAUCUGUUCUUUUGUUUAGUGUUGUCAGGGCAGUGGGACCUUUGUCAUAAUUUGAAAUAGCCCUCUCUUUUUUCCCUGAUCACCAAAUAUUCAGAAAAGCCAAUAAGAGAGGUUAAAAAUAAAUAUGAAAAUCCAUUUUAAACCUUAAUAACAAGAUUUAUAUAGUACCUAGUACUUGCUGAAAGUUUUUUUUUCUAGCGCAUGCUUCUAAAAAAUAAAGAAAGAAAAAGUAGUGCAAGAAGAGAGCAUUCACCUUGUAAAUGGCUGGAUUCCAGGAAAGAAGGGAAAAAAAAAAAGGCAAGAAAGGGAAAACUUGGGCAGAGAUUUGCAUGGCUGCCUGCAGACAAGGCCACCCACUGGCCUGCUGCCUGCUCCAGGCCUGCCAGCGGAAGUUUUGCCCUUGCCUUGGCAGCAGCGCCCUGGAAUGGCGCUCGGCUGCGUGCCGCGGUUCCUGGGGAAGGCGAGGAGGGGUGUCCUGCAUGGAAAAGCACCCCCAUGUGAGCCAUCUGCCAAGUAGUGCCCACACCCCCAGGUACCACCUCGGCCCCAGGGCUCCUGCUUUUGCCACUUGGAUGAGGACGAGGGAGUUCAAUCCCUGAGUUUGUAACAAGUUGGGUUGUAAAUCCUCUUUGGCGCAGUGUGCUAAGUUAUUGAGCGCUUCCGCUCACCUCGGCAGCCUCACGACUCCUACAGCUACAUGGAAAAUUUAGAAUAACAGAACUAUUUCACAUGGCAACAACGACCUGGAAGGAUCUGACUGGUGCAGUUCCUACAAAUCAAUCCAGUGUGAGCUUCUAAGCCAAUGGGCUGGUCCCCUGUGAGGGACUGAACAUCUCGUCCUGGGCGUGUUAACAGCAAAGCUUGAAAUAAUGGUGACUUCUAGAAACCAAUUUUGAUAACCAGACUCUAUUUGUAAGGCAUUUAGAGCUAAUAAAGCUCCUGUGGUCUUGGGAGUGCCCUUUUCCUUGAGCACAAUGGGAAACUCUUCUUGUCAGGAUUGCUAUAGAAACAAUGAAUUCUCAGGCAAACGGGACCAUCCAGCCAAUUGUGCCAGACGAGGGAUGUGUGCUGAUAACGCGGCAGCGUUAAUUUGCUCUACUUUGUUGUAAGUAGAGCUUGCAUCGCCUAUAGAAAUGUAAAGAGGCAGGUGAGCUGGAGUGUCUAUUAUUUAUAGACACAGUUUGUGCUGUAUAAAUGAAUUUUUCAUAGGUAGACUUUUUAGAAAAAGGCUUGGGAAAGUGCUUGGUAAAUAAUUAUGACUGGGAGCUUCAAAUGUCUCUGAGGAGUGGGUGGACAUCCUUUAGUCCCCCUUAAAAUUUUUCAGGUGCAACCUUGAACCUGUUGUAAAGAGUGGGGUGCUUUGACCAUGUGUGAAGUACCCCAGCCCCAUUACUGACAGCCUUUAGCAGGAUAAUGCUGAACCACGGCUGGUAUUGCCUUCUGUCAUCUUGCAAAACUGAGUCACCCAUAAGCAAAUGCAAAUGUUAUUAGUAUGUAGAUGUGCUUGUACCAUAGGGCUUGAGAAGUCAGCACCAGGCUGAAGUAGGAUCCAGCAACAACAACAAGAAAGAAGCAAAAACUCCUUGGUAUCAAGUGGAUAACCUCUACAUUUUCUUUAUUGCAUUUUACUCAAUGCCACUUGGGAGGACGUUCCUCUAUUUUUAAAAAGGAAGAAGACAUGAAAUGUGCCAGGAAAUCAUUGAGCUGAGAGGAGUUUGGCUUCAGAUGUGAGACACACCACCAGGAUCACGGAGAAGAUGUUCACCACAGGUGAACAUGGCAAAGGCCAUGGACUUCCAAAGAGCUGCUCACCUGGCUGUGCACAUCUGGAGCCUGUAUUUAUUGUUCUGCUUCUCCAAGUGUGAAUUGAAAAGCUUGCACCUAUAAAGAAACCCCCAUAAUUGUCUUGACAUCAGUUUGAGGUGGGAAAAUAAGUAUUUCCAAGGGUCUCAGCUUCUACAGGUGAGAAGUUCAUCUUUUUCUUGCACAAGCUUUCUUCUUGCAUGGGCUUUUGGCUGCUUGUCACGUGUGAGGCUGUGCUGGCAGGCAAGAGGAUACCCAAGUGAAUAUUUCUCUCCCACCAAGUGUUUGUGUUUGUUUCAGGGCUGCCCGCUCUGUGCAGAGAUGCCUGCUCCCAGCUCCGUGCACUCUGGCACGUGUUGCCUAAUGGAGCAGGGCUUCUCGUUCAGCACGGCUGACAAGGAGCAUCUCUGUCACCACAGCUGACACACGCUUGCUUUGUUAAAUGACAGAAGAUGCUGCAGUGCAUGGCACAAGUUCUCCCAUGCUUUCAGCUAAACAAUUUACUACUGUGCUGUACAUCCUUCUCUGGUCCAGCAAGCGGAGGGCCUGGAGCUGGUUAUUCAUGUCCCAGCUUGGCCAGCUCUGUCCCCCCAGACAUUGCAAGGAGCAGUGGGAACAAAGUGAGAUGUUGACCUAAUGCCCUGCAUGUAGGGCAUUCAAACCUACCCUGACAGCUCCCUGACAGGGCAUUCAAACCUAAACUGUCUGCCGAGGUUCAGCCCCAUGUGGCAUUUUCUGCUCUGCUACAUCACAGCUGGUCCAACCCUCCUGCCUCUGCACCACCCUGGGCAUAAGCAAAGCCAGGGCUUUGGAAUCUGUGUGCUUCUGGCUGCAAAGUAAAGUUUUUCUGCAGAUCAAAUGCUCAUCAGCGACUGGGAACACAACCAAAGAGGUGGGGAGGAGAGGAGGAAGCCACACUUGAUCCCACAGAAGCCACAAAUCUGAUUUCGCACCAAAGGCAAUUAGCCAGCACACAUUUAGUUAGGGUGGCGGUGCUACUUUGUAAAACGUGACCUUUUAAUGAGCUGGGGAGGCAGAUCUGAGUUUCUGCUAGUCUACAUUGGCAAAGGAAAACCACCAGCAGUUAAUUAUCAUCAGGAGAGAGGAGCAGGGGUGAAGUGGCCCUCAAAACCAUCUCCGUGCACUUACAAGUCCUGCUUUGCAUGACGGGAUCUUGUCCCUGACUCCAUGCCAUCACACCCAGCCUCCCUCCCAAAGCCACCAGGGUGCUGCAGCAUCCUUGGCUGGGCAGUGCUGACUCAGGCACAGGGUCCCGUGCCUGCUCCCUGGCACUGCUGUCCCCCAGAUAUUUCACAACCAGAUAUAAAAAUCCCUGAGUUAGGCACUUGCUGCUGUGCUCCCUGCAAAGGGAAGCAGUAAAAGGCUGAUUUAUGCUCUGAACCACAAAAGCCUUUUAUUGCUGCUUUUUUUUUUUAAUGUAACUGUCUUGCCCUUAAAUGUCUAAUCCCUUUCUAACAGUCUAGUGGAAGUGGCAGGGCUCUCCACGGGUUAAAGGCGGUGUUUUUCAAGAGGAUCAAGUUGUCCACCAGGUCCCCAAAGCCCCUCUUGCCCUGGCACAGCCAGUCCCCCUGUCAGCAAGGGAGGAGGGCAGCAGUAAGCUAUGUACUAUGGGCAUGGUCCUCCACAUUCUCCCAGCCCUCAGCUUUCUGGGGUUGUUGGAGAGUUAUUCCAUCACUUGGAGUAUCCCCUGACAGUCUUGGGCACUGCUGCUCCUUCAGGGGAGAAUAAAAACCCCAAGCUGAUUUAACAGAAACAGGGAUUUAAGACUUUGACUCCAGGCAUAUACAUUUAAAGACAUUGCCCAAUUAUUUCUUCAUUUUUAUUAAUUACUAUUAGUCAUUUAUGGCCCCUUUUACAUUCAACUCCUCAAGAAAAAUAUUGCUUUAGAGAAAAAAAAAAGGAAA
Molecule: long non-coding RNA, 5470 nt
Organism: Passer domesticus (house sparrow)
Lineage: Eukaryota; Metazoa; Chordata; Aves; Passeriformes; Passeridae
Exons: 6
Source: RefSeq, a predicted model, not a curated record